Molecule: unclassified non-coding RNA, 701 nt
Filed under: Hevea brasiliensis (rubber tree)
Lineage: Eukaryota; Viridiplantae; Streptophyta; Magnoliopsida; Malpighiales; Euphorbiaceae
Source: RNAcentral
AAGCCAACGACUCAUAACAGAUUGAAGCACAAAUUUAGGAUCCUUAUUUUGAAGUUCACGAGGAGGUAUAGACAAAUUAAAAGACUUUAUAACUUUCUCAAGCAUCCCCCUAUCUCCAUCUUCUUCCACAGCAGCUUGAUAAACCUGCCAAAGUGGCUCAAGAACAAAUUGCACAAACAUGGGCCUAGCUUUACUUCCACUACUAAUUCCCUUUUUACCUACAAUCAUCUUAGUCUUGGCGUUAUAAUACCGAGGUCCCCAUAAUGCCUUCUGCAUGGCAGCUGAACUUGCACCCAGUUUCGAAGCAUAAAACUCAGCAAAAUCACUAAUACUAAAGCCCCAUCCAUCUAGUGCACAUACAAACGCGACAUUCCCCUUCUGGGGUUGGAAAGUAUCCUCUUCAUCCUCCUCUAACAACUCAAGAUCUGGAUUUUCAUCCUCCACUAGUCCAGCCGGAGCAGAGAGCAGAGAAUCAACAUCCGACAAAUACUUUUCAGACUUGUAAGCACUCACUAUACUAUUAACCUCAUGAACAAUCCUCUGCAACCUAGUAUACGCCUCAAGCGGAGUCAAUCUCAAUUCAACAAUCAACCUAUCAAUCUUGUUCAAAACCAAACACGGGGUAAGUUUCUCAAUCCACGCCUGACGCAGAACUGCAUGAGUCUGAAUGUGAACACCUUCUACAGCAUCCACUAAUACCA